GCAAGUCGAACGCAGUAGCAAUACUGAGUGGCAGACGGGUGAGUAACACGUGGGAAUCUGCCUUGUGGUUCAGGACAACAUUGGGAAACCGAUGCUAAUACUGGAUAAGCCCUUACGGGGAAAGUUUUAAUGCCAUAAGAUGAGCCCGCAUUUGAUUAGUUAGUUGGUGAGGUAAUGGCUCACCAAGACAAUGAUCAAUAGCUGAUCUGAGAGGAUGAUCAGCCACACUGGGACUGAGACACGGCCCAGACUCCUACGGGAGGCAGCAGUGGGGAAUCUUGCACAAUGGAGGAAACUCUGAUGCAGCGAUGCCGCGUGAGUGAAGAAGGCCUUUGGGUUGUAAAGCUCUUUUGUAGGGGAAGAUAAUGACUGUACCCUAAGAAUAAGGUCCGGCUAACUUCGUGCCAGCAGCCGCGGUAAUACGAAGGGACCUAGCGUAGUUCGGAAUUACUGGGCGUAAAGCGCGCGUAGGCCGUUGAGUUAGUUAAUUGUGAAAUCCCAAAGCUUAACUUUGGAACUGCAAUUAAAACUGCUCGACUAGAGUUUGAUAGAGGAAAGCGGAGUACAUAGUGUAGAGGUGAAAUUCGUAGAUAUUAUGUAGAACACCAGUUGCGAAGGCGGCUUUCUGGAUCAACACUGACGCUGAGGCGCGAAGGUAUGGGUAGCAAAGAGGAUUAGAUACCCUCGUAGUCCAUACCAUAAACGAUGAUUGCUAGAUGUUGGAAAUUUAUUUUCAGUAUCGCAGCUAACGCAUUAAGCAAUCCGCCUGGGGAGUACGACCGCAAGGUUAAAACUCAAAUGAAUUGACGGGGACCCGCACAAGCGGUGGAGCAUGUGGUUUAAUUCGAAGAUA
RNAcentral lists this ribosomal RNA (853 nucleotides) under uncultured Pseudomonadota bacterium. Its description in RNAcentral is "bacterial SSU rRNA". It matches the Rfam family "Bacterial small subunit ribosomal RNA", at positions 57 to 959 of the family's 1533-position model. The record is from RNAcentral. Lineage: Bacteria; Pseudomonadati; Pseudomonadota.